Molecule: unclassified non-coding RNA, 227 nt
Filed under: uncultured fungus
Lineage: Eukaryota; Fungi
Description: sequence contains ITS1, 5.8S rRNA gene
Source: RNAcentral
UCUCCGUAGGUGAACCUGCGGAGGGAUCAUUACUGCGAGAGGGCUCCGGCCCGACCUCCAACCCCAUGUGAACCGAAACCUGUUGCUUCGGGGGCGACCCUGCCGUUCGCGGCGUGGGGCCCCCGGAGCCCAUCAAACCCUGCGUAACUAAGUCGUCGGAGUUUAAACAAAUUAAACAAAACUUUCAACAACGGAUCUCUUGGUUCGGGCAUCGAUGAAGAACGAGC